Accipiter nisus (Eurasian sparrowhawk) is the source of this 133-nucleotide small nucleolar RNA. NCBI's taxonomy places the organism in Eukaryota, Metazoa, Chordata, Aves, Accipitriformes, Accipitridae. The record is from Ensembl.
UGCCUUUGUGUUGCCCGUUCAUUCCUGUCCAGAAUGAAUGUGGUGUCAAAAAAGGCAAACAGGAAUUCUUGCUCAAACUGUUGUAAGGAGCUGGUUAUUUACCUUUCUCCUCCCUGUUUUUGCAAGGACAAAA